This 240-nucleotide long non-coding RNA is filed under the name Elaeis guineensis (African oil palm). Its description in RNAcentral is "long non-coding RNA (EGUI_LNC036083)". The record is from RNAcentral. Lineage: Eukaryota; Viridiplantae; Streptophyta; Magnoliopsida; Arecales; Arecaceae.
CCUUCCUUCAAAUCAAGGAUUCAUCUCUACUGUUAAUAUCUUGCUAAGGAUGCCCGAUCUUCCUCUAGAUAUCUGAGAUAAAUACCUUAUUAUGAAAAUAGCAUCUUAAGCUGGUAAACCAAAGAUCCUACAUGACCAGAUUGCUAGCUCAUCCAGAUUUGGGUUCAUCUUAUUGGAUGAAAACUUCAAUUGGGCAGCCGUAAUAUUCUAUAAUGGAUCAGAAACAGAGAAAAGAGGAGC